RNAcentral lists this ribosomal RNA (1368 nucleotides) under uncultured bacterium. RNAcentral's name for it is "bacterial SSU rRNA". It matches the Rfam family "Bacterial small subunit ribosomal RNA", at positions 28 to 1381 of the family's 1533-position model. The record is from RNAcentral.
GACGAACGCUGGCGGCGUGCCUAAUACAUGCAAGUAGAACGCUGAAGAGAGGAGCUUGCUCUUCUUGGAUGAGUUGUGAACGGGUGAGUAACGCGUAGGUAACCUGCCUUGUAGCGGGGGAUAACUAUUGGAAACGAUAGCUAAUACCACAUAACAAUGGAUGACACAUGUCAUUUAUUUGAAAGGGGCAAUUGCUCCACUACAAGAUGGACCUGCGUUGUAUUAGCUAGUAGGUGAGGUAAUGGCUCACCUAGGCGACGAUACAUAGCCGACCUGAGAGGGUGAUCGGCCACACUGGGACUGAGACACGGCCCAGACUCCUACGGGAGGCAGCAGUAGGGAAUCUUCGGCAAUGGGGGCAACCCUGACCGAGCAACGCCGCGUGAGUGAAGAAGGUUUUCGGAUCGUAAAGCUCUGUUGUAAGUCAAGAACGGGUGUGAGAGUGGAAAGUUCACACUGUGACGGUAGCUUACCAGAAAGGGACGGCUAACUACGUGCCAGCAGCCGCGGUAAUACGUAGGUCCCGAGCGUUGUCCGGAUUUAUUGGGCGUAAAGCGAGCGCAGGCGGUUUGAUAAGUCUGAAGUUAAAGGCUGUGGCUCAACCAUAGUUCGCUUUGGAAACUGUCAAACUUGAGUGCAGAAGGGGAGAGUGGAAUUCCAUGUGUAGCGGUGAAAUGCGUAGAUAUAUGGAGGAACACCGGUGGCGAAAGCGGCUCUCUGGUCUGUAACUGACGCUGAGGCUCGAAGCGUGGGGAGCGAACAGGAUUAGAUACCCUGGUAGUCCACGCCGUAAACGAUGAGUGCUAGGUGUUGGAUCCUUUCCGGGAUUCAGUGCCGCAGCUAACGCAUUAAGCACUCCGCCUGGGGAGUACGACCGCAAGGUUGAAACUCAAAGGAAUUGACGGGGGCCCGCACAAGCGGUGGAGCAUGUGGUUUAAUUCGAAGCAACGCGAAGAACCUUACCAGGUCUUGACAUCCCGAUGCUAUUUCUAGAGAUAGAAAGUUACUUCGGUACAUCGGUGACAGGUGGUGCAUGGUUGUCGUCAGCUCGUGUCGUGAGAUGUUGGGUUAAGUCCCGCAACGAGCGCAACCCCUAUUGUUAGUUGCCAUCAUUCAGUUGGGCACUCUAGCGAGACUGCCGGUAAUAAACCGGAGGAAGGUGGGGAUGACGUCAAAUCAUCAUGCCCCUUAUGACCUGGGCUACACACGUGCUACAAUGGUUGGUACAACGAGUUGCGAGUCGGUGACGGCGAGCUAAUCUCUUAAAGCCAAUCUCAGUUCGGAUUGUAGGCUGCAACUCGCCUACAUGAAGUCGGAAUCGCUAGUAAUCGCGGAUCAGCACGCCGCGGUGAAUACGUUCCCGGGCCU